UGUUACUUCUAAGUUCCCACGGCAUCUCUGCUUCCUCUGCUAGACAGAAAGCACAGAGGUGCUGAGAAACUUGAGGAUCAUCCUUCCAAUUCUCCCAGCAAGAUGUGAGCUGAAGGAGAGAGUGCAGGCCACGCUGGAAUCCGCACUGAAAAUGUUUGAAAUACAGUUCCUAGAUAAUCUCAACAUGCAAGGCAGGUAAUCUGGUGAGUUUUCCAUGUGUGUGUGUAUGUGUGUGUGUGUGUGUGUGUGUGUUUGUGUGUGUAUGCUUUAAAAAGAUUCACCAGGAGGCUUCUUUGAAGAGCUGGCCUCCCUUAAAAGGAACCUGAUAAACAAAAAUUUAAUUUGGACUCUCUUUGGUAAACACGACUCAUGCAAUCCAGCUCAGGCCAUGGGAUAAGGCACAGCAAGCUAAGAGAGUUUCUGUCCACAUUCGGUCAGUGUCAGCUCAUCUCACUGUUCUCCUGGGAGUGGAAGCAGUGUAGACAAACCAUAGUCUUGGACUCCUGCAGUCUGUCAACUGUUUAAAUGCUUUCCCAAAUAACAGAGAAAAAUGUUGUAUAUUUUUGAUUGCAUAAGAAACAGAUCUGAAUGCUGAAUUAAAAGGAAUUGAAAUGUUUAUAGUUUUAAUUGUCCAAAAUGCCUUUCAAUUAUACUUAAUCUUCACUCUAAUAAAAAAUUCAUUACAAAUCAACAUCAACACAAAAUUCCUCACUAAACCACUAUUUUUUAAAAAUCUGGGUAACCACUCUCUUCCAUUGCUGAAUGAUUAA
This is a long non-coding RNA of Dama dama (fallow deer), 770 nucleotides long. RefSeq lists it as uncharacterized. The record is from RefSeq and is a predicted model, not a curated record. NCBI's taxonomy places the organism in Eukaryota, Metazoa, Chordata, Mammalia, Artiodactyla, Cervidae. The transcript is spliced from 2 exons.